Molecule: small nuclear RNA, 22 nt
Filed under: Arabidopsis thaliana (thale cress)
Lineage: Eukaryota; Viridiplantae; Streptophyta; Magnoliopsida; Brassicales; Brassicaceae
Description: snRNA_01049
Source: RNAcentral
CACGCAGAUUAAGAAUAUUUAC